RNAcentral lists this ribosomal RNA (841 nucleotides) under Escherichia coli. Its description in RNAcentral is "partial 23S ribosomal RNA". It matches the Rfam family "Bacterial large subunit ribosomal RNA", at positions 419 to 1261 of the family's 2925-position model. Lineage: Bacteria; Pseudomonadati; Pseudomonadota; Gammaproteobacteria; Enterobacterales; Enterobacteriaceae. The record is from RNAcentral.
GGGACACGUGGUAUCCUGUCUGAAUAUGGGGGGACCAUCCUCCAAGGCUAAAUACUCCUGACUGACCGAUAGUGAACCAGUACCGUGAGGGAAAGGCGAAAAGAACCCCGGCGAGGGGAGUGAAAAAGAACCUGAAACCGUGUACGUACAAGCAGUGGGAGCCUCUUAAUGGGGUGACUGCGUACCUUUUGUAUAAUGGGUCAGCGACUUAUAUUCUGUAGCAAGGUUAACCGAAUAGGGGAGCCGAAGGGAAACCGAGUCUUAACUGGGCGUUAAGUUGCAGGGUAUAGACCCGAAACCCGGUGAUCUAGCCAUGGGCAGGUUGAAGGUUGGGUAACACUAACUGGAGGACCGAACCGACUAAUGUUGAAAAAUUAGCGGAUGACUUGUGGCUGGGGGUGAAAGGCCAAUCAAACCGGGAGAUAGCUGGUUCUCCCCGAAAGCUAUUUAGGUAGCGCCUCGUGAAUUCAUCUCCGGGGGUAGAGCACUGUUUCGGCAAGGGGGUCAUCCCGACUUACCAACCCGAUGCAAACUGCGAAUACCGGAGAAUGUUAUCACGGGAGACACACGGCGGGUGCUAACGUCCGUCGUGAAGAGGGAAACAACCCAGACCGCCAGCUAAGGUCCCAAAGUCAUGGUUAAGUGGGAAACGAUGUGGGAAGGCCCAGACAGCCAGGAUGUUGGCUUAGAAGCAGCCAUCAUUUAAAGAAAGCGUAAUAGCUCACUGGUCGAGUCGGCCUGCGCGGAAGAUGUAACGGGGCUAAACCAUGCACCGAAGCUGCGGCAGCGACACUGUGUGUUGUUGGGUAGGGGAGCGUUCUGUAAGCCUGCGAAGGUGUGC